Molecule: long non-coding RNA, 415 nt
Organism: Musca domestica (house fly)
Lineage: Eukaryota; Metazoa; Arthropoda; Insecta; Diptera; Muscidae
Exons: 2
Source: RefSeq, a predicted model, not a curated record
UGUAUUUUAUUAGGAUUUCAUAAUAUUGCUAAGGAGACCUUAAGCAUACCUCCGUGUGAACACCAUGAAGGUAAACCGUUUCUAAAUCAACUCGCCCAAAAAUACAACUCUGACACACAGCAACUUCCAUCGUCGCUCUCAAUAUGCCGUGCAACGCCGUUACUCCACACGCCUCGCCCUCGAUCUGUGUAUACAACCCUGUUUUGGCUUUUAAAAUGGAGGUCUUUGAUGUUGUGCGUACAUUAAUCUUUAAGUGAUGAGUACAAAAAAAUUGCAAAAACGUAACUAAAACUGUGAACAAAUUACAAAGAAAAUGUCUCAUUACUGAAAAAGACAACAUGUCGUUGUACUCCAUUUGUUAAUUUAAAACAAUAUAACUAAAAGUAAAAUUGUUUAAAUUAACCAAAAAAAAAAA